UGGGGAAUUUUGGACAAUGGGCGCAAGCCUGAUCCAGCCAUGCCGCGUGCAGGAUGAAGGCCUUCGGGUUGUAAACAGCUUUUGUACGGAACGAAAAGGUGCCUUCUAAUAAAGGGCGCUCAUGACGGUACCGUAAGAAUAAGCACCGGCUAACUACGUGCCAGCAGCCGCGGUAAUACGUAGGGUGCGAGAGUUAAUCGGAAUUACUGGGCGUAGAGCGUGGGCAGGCGGUUUUGUAAGACAGAGGUGAAAUCCCCGGGCUCAACCUGGGAACUGCCUUUGUGACUGCAAGGCUGGAGUGCGGCAGAGGGGGAUGGAAUUCCGCGUGUAGCAGUGAAAUGCGUAGAUAUGCGGAGGAACACCGAUGGCGAAGGCAAUCCCCUGGGCCUGCACUGACGCUCAUGCACGAAAGCGUGGGG
RNAcentral lists this ribosomal RNA (419 nucleotides) under uncultured bacterium. RNAcentral describes it as "bacterial SSU rRNA". It matches the Rfam family "Bacterial small subunit ribosomal RNA", at positions 355 to 766 of the family's 1533-position model. The record is from RNAcentral.